UUCCCCUUUCUCUCUCCUCCCCCCCGAGCUCUCUCUUCCUCCGGUUCGGCGAUUUUCCUUCCUCUUCCGAUUGCCGGCGAUUCCGGCCACCCCAAGGCGUGCCACCGGUCAUCCCAAGAUCGCCUCCUCCCUCUGAGCACCCCUGCAUCCUUGGUUUUCCACGAUUUGGCCGGAAAACCACGGAUCGAAGCAAAACCUCCUCCGGCUGCAGUUUUGGACUUUUGCCGAUUUCCGGCGAUUCCGGCCACCUCCGGUCCCCAUCUCUUCAUCGAAGGACGUGAGGAGGAUUUCCUCGAGGAGGGUUUGGAUCGACGGCAAGCUUAGCCGUACUUUAUCACAGUGUUGCGGACCGGCAUAGGAGCGGAGGCUAGUACCACAUUUGUCAUCCAUUCUCAGUAGGUUAUUGAUUAACCUACUUAUUGUUUUAUAUUCCGAGUCUGUUCCUUAGAUUGCUCUGAAUACUUGUUGAGAGUGGAUUUAUACAUUUGUAUAAUUAUGUAUUGUGGAGUUUGA
Molecule: long non-coding RNA, 513 nt
Filed under: Rosa chinensis
Lineage: Eukaryota; Viridiplantae; Streptophyta; Magnoliopsida; Rosales; Rosaceae
Description: sRNA RchiOBHm_Chr3g0496891
Source: RNAcentral